GAUGAACGCUAGCGGCAUGCCUAAUACAUGCAAGCCGAACGGCAAGUUCGAUAGCAGUAUUGGACCUAGAGUGGCGCAAGGGUGCGUAACACGUAUGCAACCUGCCCGCGACAGGAGGAUAGCUCCCCGAAAGGGGAAUUAACCCUCCAUAACACCAUGAGAAGGCAUCUGAUUAUGGUUAAACCGCAAGGGGUCGCGGAUGGGCAUGCGGUUGAUUAGCUAGUUGGCGGGGUAAAGGCCCACCAAGGCGGUGAUCAAUAGGGGUUCUGAGAGGAAGGUCCCGACACUGGCACUGAGAUACGGGACAGACUCCGACGGGAGGCAGCAGUAGGGAAGAUUGGACAAUGGUUGCAAGACUGAACCAGCGAGGCCGCGCGCAGGAAGAAGGCCUUCUGGGUCGUAAACUGCUUUUUCCUGGGGAUACAAUACCCGCGCGCGGGGAAUUGAAGGUAACAGGAGAAUAAGCCACGGCUAACUACGUG
Molecule: ribosomal RNA, 482 nt
Filed under: uncultured bacterium
Lineage: Bacteria
Description: partial 16S ribosomal RNA
Rfam family: Bacterial small subunit ribosomal RNA
Source: RNAcentral